RNAcentral lists this ribosomal RNA (433 nucleotides) under uncultured bacterium. Its description in RNAcentral is "partial 16S ribosomal RNA". It matches the Rfam family "Bacterial small subunit ribosomal RNA", at positions 29 to 507 of the family's 1533-position model. The record is from RNAcentral.
AACGAACGCUGGCGGCAGGCUUAACACAUGCAAGUCGAGCGCAUCCUUCGGGGUGAGCGGCCGACGGGUGAGUAACGCGUGGGAAUCUACCUUUUGCUACGGAAUAGCUCCGGGAAACUGGAAUUAAUACCGUAUGUGCCCUUAGGGGGAAAGAUUUAUCGGCAAGAGAUGAGCCCGCGUUGGAUUAGCUAGUUGGUGGGGUAAAGGCCUACCAAGGCGACGAUCCAUAGCUGGUCUGAGAGGAUGAUCAGCCACAUUGGGACUGAGACACGGCCCAAACUCCUACGGGAGGCAGCAGUGGGGAAUAUUGGACAAUGGGCGCAAGCCUGAUCCAGCCAUGCCGCGUGAGUGAUGAAGGCCUUAGGGUUGUAAAGCUCUUUCACCGGAGAAGAUAAUGACGGUAGCCGGAGAAGAAGCCCCGGCUAACUUCGUG